Long non-coding RNA from Triticum urartu, 3770 nucleotides. RefSeq lists it as uncharacterized. The record is from RefSeq and is a predicted model, not a curated record. NCBI's taxonomy places the organism in Eukaryota, Viridiplantae, Streptophyta, Magnoliopsida, Poales, Poaceae.
CAACGGACGAAUAUUCCAGCUACUGGUCCGGCGUCCCCUACAAUCAUGCGAUUCUGAUCGCUACCAGUUCCCGAAAUCAAUCUCUUCUUCCCGAGUUCUCCACGCCUCCCCAGCUGCCUCCCGAGUUCGGAUCACCUCCAUCGUCGUCCGCCGACGCGCCUCGCCCGCAGCGCCGUCCACCACGUGUCUCCUUCCACCCCAAUCGGAGGCAGCAGAGGUGGAGAGGCACGUCGCGCCGCCACAUCUGGAGAGGGAGGGGCAGGGGAACGGACAUCACGUUGGAUGUGCUUCGCAGGUGAGUAGCAGCCAGUUUGAUUCGUUGCAUAAAUUUCUCUCUAAAGCUUCUUAAUCUGGGUUCUUUCUUCACUGCCGGCGAGGGUGUCGCCUAGGGGCGGCGGGGGCAGGGGGUCGCCGGUGGGCGACCUAUGGGAUAUGGCAGCGGACGCGAGAAGGGGUGAGGGGCCCGGGAGCCACAACGGGAGCCACGAGAGCGAGUUGGACUUGGCCAUGCUCGUCAGCGACUGCCUCAAGGGUAACGGCGGCGAGGACCCGGGCUCCCCGACCUCGGCCACUUCGCAGACAAGAUCAAGGAGUGUAGUGCAAAACAAAAUUCUACUGACAUUGCUGGCUUGCAGCUGUAACUGGUUGUCUCUCAAGUUUUGAUUGCACAGUAGUACAAUUUAGUUUCUAUGAGGUGUCGAUUGCACAAUGGUCCAAUUUAGUCUCAUUUACCAUGAUUCAUUCUAGAGACCAUUUUUCAGGCUUUUAGCCUUAUUGCCGAGGCAUGAAAUACAUCAACGUGGGCACGAUUUGUUCCCCUCCUGUAAUCUAAUCACGAGCUAGCUAAUUUGUAAUCUAAUCAACCGUGUCAUGUGCGUGCGCCCUUAUCAAUCCUGGUUCAGAGAAUGCACUGGGCUAUCUGUUUUGCUCAUUAACUUUUACCCAAAGUAAUAACUGGAUAACUUAACUUAGUGUGUUGUUGUAUGCUGAAGCUGACAUUCUGCAUAUCUGCAUGUUCCAUUUUAAAUGUACAAGAAAGCAGGAGAUGAGAAAGAAAACAAGCUGCUCUCCAUUGUUCACUCCCUCUUCUCGAUCCACGAGACAUGGCUCCAGGUUUUUGUAAGAGGCCAAUGUACUGGCAGUUCCAGUCGCCAUCUACUCAUGAAGCUCCUUAGUUACUCGAGAUACGACGCGGCGGUCUGUGUGCCCAAAUGGUAGGGCUUCGAGAAGAUACCUGGAGGUAACCCACCAGACCAAGGCUUAGCUACUUAUGUUGUUCGAUUUUCUCUAGAAAUUGUGCUGUGUGGCUGAGUACAUUGAAUAUUAGUGGACUUGGAUCAUCUUAUGGUCUGCCUAUACAUGUAACUUGAUCAUGGUAAGCUAGAUGUACCAGCACUGAUCACUUCCUUGACACUCAUCCUACACAUCUCCUUGUGAAAUAAUUGUUGGUGAUGUCCCUUGUUCAUAUUAUGUUCCUUGUAGAAAUUUUUGUUGCAAACUGAACAAGGAUAGAUGACAACAGGACAGGAACCAAAAUAUAUUGAUACCUAGCUUUGUUUUUGUUGAGUGACAUGUUUGAAUAGCAGCUUAAUUGGAAAAUUUUAACACAGUUGCAUGUGCAGUGCUUUUUAACCGACCAUAUUCUACUGAACGUCUGACUCCCCCUUAAGAUUUAGGUUGGAAAUAUACUGGAGUAAUAGUGGAAGCCACUUUUUGCUUUGGUGAUUUUGUGAAGUUCAGAUUUUGGUUUAUCACUAUUCAGACUAAUCUUUGUAACAAUUUCUUGAGAUCUGCCUACAGUACAUGAAUUUAGUAUCAGUUUACAUACUAUAUACACACAUGACAAGUUUUUUGUGGGGGAAAUUUAAUCCAGCAAAAGCAUUGUCAUUGCUAUUCCCUACAAGUUACUUGAAGAAGAAGAAAAAUGCCCUUUAGACAUUUUUAAGAAGCAAAACAAAUAUUUCUUUCUAUAAUUGCAGAAAUCCAUGGAAUCCUUGUGGUAGUCAUUUCUCCAGGUAUGGCAAAAGUCAUGGAGUCUUUACUAUUUGUACAUGUAAGUGCACACCCAAGUGCAUCGAUAUCAGUAGGCUUUCUAUAGUAUAACUGAUUUAACAUUCUGCGAAAUUCAUUUCUUGGUCUUUGCAUGACCACCUCUGCAUCGUACACAAAAGUGCUCAGAAGAAUACAUCAUGCAGUGACUCCUAUAAGGAAGGAAUGGAACGAGUAUUGAUGUUUCACUUUUAUCUGUGUUUGUACUUUGCUUUGUCCUAGGAAAUCUGGCUAAGGAUCAUCACUUUUACAGCACACAUGACACAUCAUAAUGAAACUAUUCUCCUUUCUUCUAUUGAAGUCCAUGCAUAUCAUGACAUGCAUUGGAGGACUCAAAUUUCAUUUUUGUUAUUGUUUACAUUACUUCCUAAUUAAGUCUGCUAAACAUUUGUAAAACAGAAGCUCUCUGCAAGCAUUAUAUUUUCCGCCGAAUGUGCUAUUGUACAGAACAUUUUACUUGACAUGUGAGCAAAAUAUAAUGUACAUUAUGCCGAUUAACUUUCUUCUGAACUGUUGUAUCACCACAAGGGAGAUUGUGGUAGUGUAGUACCGAGGAAUUAAUCCUCAAAUUCUUCGGACUUCUGGGAGUGGUGUACUGUAUUCUAUGGACUUCUGGGAAUUAAGCCCCAAAUUCUUUGGAGUUCCUCGCUAGAAUAUUCUAUGGUUGCAACAGUAUUUCUAUUGGGAUGCAGUUACAAUUAUCUCAAGGCUAAUGGCAUGCUAGAUUUUUUGAGUUCUGGGAGUGUUGUACAUAUGCAGAUUCUUAUAAAGGUGCAUGUAAUCAACUUCUGGCUUCCUUUUAUCUCUGCAUCUAUUGUCCAUAUUACUCAUAUAAAACUUUGAUGGUCAGUUUAUUUCCACACAAAUGAAAUUCCAUAAUUUAAUAAUCUGAUCCUCUAUUAUAAUGCUAUCAACUGUUAUUUUUCAUCAAACCAUAUGUUAUGCUUAAGCUGUCUGUUGCUUUUGUUGAUUACCAGCUUAUAUAGAUUAGUGCAAUAUAUUCUUAUAAGGUUAAGUGCCCUCCUUAGAUCUACGGGCUUUAGUAAUAGGUGCCACCACCAGUUUGAGUUCUCAUAUAUACGAUCUACGACAAUUUCAAAAGAUGAGUAAUUAGUUCAGAUCAUACUACUUUCCAUUACAGCUUUCUCUAUGUAUACUUGGAGAGCAGUGUGUGUUUUAACUACAAUAUGCAUACCCCCAUUGCACCAUAGUUCCACUCCAGGAGAUGCUGAGAUAAACUGAAAAUGGAGGAAAAAUUGUCCGACUCUUACUGCUAGCAGGUGGUACCCGCUAUGACUCCCACAGGUGGGAUUACCUUCACUGCCGAGCCUUCAAACUCAGAAGAUAACAAGCAGCCCAAAAUCCAAGAAGGAAGCUAAUUCAGUUCUUCCAAGAUUGCUAUUUUUCGGGAGGUUUUUGUUCCAACUUUGCAUUGACGACACCAUGUUCAUUUGGACAAUGUUUAUAUGUUCCUUUGAAGUUCACCCAAGAAAAUAAAAUUUCUGAAAUCUUCAUCGGAUAUUUAAUUUGAUUCCAUUUUUACUAUACAAUAGACUAAAUAGGCCACACCCAUAUAUUCUCUAUGUAGAAGUUGUUCAUCCAAUUGAUUCCCAUUGAUUUGUAACUUUUUUUGUACAAUUAUGAUUUCUUUGUGGUCUGCUUGAACCUCAGUGGCAUUCUCAAAAGAUAAUUGAUGAGUUUGUACUUUGUCCUUUUGUUUA